AGGGGGUUUGAUCCUGGGCUCAGGAUGAACGUUGGCGGCGUGGAUUAGGCAUGCAAGUCGAGCGGUAAGGCUCCUUCGGGAGUACACGAGCGGCGAAAGGGAGAGUAACGCGUGGGUACCUGCCCUCGGGCCCGGAAUAGCGGUGGGAAACUGCCGGUAAUGCCGGAUAACGUCUCCGGACCAAAGGUGUGAUUCCGCCUGAGGAGGAGCCCGCGUCCUAUUAGCUUGUUGGUGGGGUAAUGGCCUACCAAGGCUUUGAUGGGUACCGGGUGUGAGAGCAUGGCCCGGCUCACUGGGACUGAGACACUGCCCAGACACCUACGGGUGGCUGCAGUCGAGAAUCUUCGGCAAUGGACGCAAGUCCGACCGAGCGACGCCGCGUGCGGGAUGAAUGCCUUCGGGUUGUAAACCGCUGUCGGAAGGAAGGAAAUGCAUGGGGGCAAUCCCCCAUGUUUGACCGAUCUUCGAAGGAAGUACGGGCUAAGUUCGUGCCAGCAGCCGCGGUAACACGAACCGUACGAACGUUAUUCGGAAUUACUGGGCUUAAAGAGUGCGUAGGCGGCUUAGAAGGUUGGAUGUGAAAUCCCUCGGCUCACCGAGGAACUGCGUUCAAAACCACUAAGCUUGAGGAAGGCAGAGGUGAGCGGAACUGAUGGUGGAGCGGUGAAAUGCGUUGAUAUCAUCAGGAACACCGGUGGCGAAGGCGGCUCACUGGGCCUUUUUCUGACGCUGAGGCACGAAAGCUAGGGGAGCGAACGGGAUUAA
Molecule: ribosomal RNA, 765 nt
Filed under: uncultured bacterium
Lineage: Bacteria
Description: bacterial SSU rRNA
Rfam family: Bacterial small subunit ribosomal RNA
Source: RNAcentral